RNAcentral lists this ribosomal RNA (424 nucleotides) under Fusobacteriota bacterium. Its description in RNAcentral is "Fusobacteria bacterium partial 16S ribosomal RNA". It matches the Rfam family "Bacterial small subunit ribosomal RNA", at positions 355 to 776 of the family's 1533-position model. Lineage: Bacteria; Fusobacteriati; Fusobacteriota. The record is from RNAcentral.
UGAGGAAUAUUGGUCAAUGGGCGAGAGCCUGAACCAGCCAAGUCGCGUGAAGGAAGACAGUCCUAAGGAUUGUAAACUUCUUUUAUACGGGAAUAACGGGCGAUACGAGUAUUGCAUUGAAUGUACCGUAAGAAUAAGCAUCGGCCAACUCCGUGCCAGCAGCCGCGGUAAUACGGAGGAUGCGAGCGUUAUCCGGAUUUAUUGGGUUUAAAGGGUGCGUAGGUUGUUCGGUAAGUCAGCGGUGAAACCUGAGCGCUCAACGUUCAGCCUGCCGUUGAAACUGCCGGGCUUGAGUUCAGUGGCGGCAGGCGGAAUUCGUGGUGUAGCGGUGAAAUGCAUAGCUAUCACGAGGAACUCCGAUUGCGAAGGCAGCUUGCCAUACUGCGACUGACACUGAAGCACGAAGGCGUGGGUAUCAAACAGG